GGUAGCGACAAGAAGAUUAAAAGAGGGAAGCAGAGGAGUUGGGAGCUGGCGGUCGUUCCCGGGGAAGAACUGCUAAAACAUGAGACCAAGGCACAGACCUUACUGUAUGAGAAGCAAUGCUCCUCAAACCUUCUGCGUGCUGACAUAGACCUUCCCAGAAGCAAAACUGUUGGCGGCGACCUGAGCGCUGGAAGCCGAAGGGGAAGAGGAAGGAGACGCGAAGCCAGGGCGGCCGGCACAAAGGCGGCGGACUCGCGGCGGCAGCGCCUGCCCGGCCGGGAGCACAACCCACGGCCCUACUCCAGCGAAGUCCCGCACCGGCUUCUAGGAAUAAAGUUUACGUUCUCCUGAGGCCGCACCCCCCACCUCCCACCCAGGACGGCACAUCUCCGUGUCCUCCUCCCCCAAACUCCACUCGGGACCCCGAGAACCACCCCAGCCUUCCGGCCACCACAACAAAGAGCCGCACCGACCGGCGAGGAUAAACAGCGGCGGAGGGCGAGAGGGCGGCGGGGCGAGCGCCUCCACGCAGCAACUCCGGAGUCCCCCGCUUGCCCGAGCGCAGUUUCUCCGCUGCUGUUUCCACCGGCUUUGUAACACUGGGAAUUUACAUCCUCACCCGCACCCCUCACGCCCGAGGAUUUUAAACUCACCUUUACUCUCGAACUGAGAGUUGCGGUAGAUGGGAUUUUUGCCUUUUCCCCAGAUGGUUGAAGGUUAAGAUUUUUGGAAACCCCACCACCUCCUUAUUUCUAUUAUUAUUUCUGCAAGAAAAGUAUAAAGAGAGUUGUAGUGGAGGUGAGAUUUGUGAUCGGGAAAGCCUUCGACUCCCUCCUUCUCCGUCUUCCGCCUCUCUCUCUCUGAUUAGUUCCUAUCCAGCAGCAGAUUGAAGCAGGAGAUGAUUCUUCUCAAGGUUUGUUCAGCAGCUUCACUUCUAGGCGAAGGCUUCAUGAACCAAGUGACGUCAACCAACAAGGCUUCUCUCUCUCUCCUCUCUCUAACAAUGAAAGUUGCUGUUAACAAGGGAAAAAAAGAGAGAGAAUUGUUUAUACCAUUUCAGUUCCAAUAAUAAAUGACCUAUCAGCUCCUAAAGGAGCCAAGGGAGGGGGUUGCUUCUUCUUUCCAAGAAUACUGUAGCUUUGAGUUUGCACCGUUCCUUGUCCCAGGAAAAAGUUAAGAAACUUAAAAUGUUUUGUUUUGCUUUUAAAGAAGACAGGACAGAAAACGGGAUUUAAAACUUAGUUUUUAAAAAAACAAAAGCUACAGAGUAGGGAGCAUAGGUCAACCAUCUCCACCUAAAUUUUUUUUGUUCCUAAACUCAGAAUUCUACAACCCAACUAAAUUAAUAUGCCAAGAUUUUGCGGAUGUUAAAACUCAAAAAAAGCAGUAUGCAAGACGGUCCCGGGGUAAAAUUCUACUGCCUUUCCACGGACAAGUUAAACUGGCUGUAAUGUUUAUGCACUAAGUUAAAAUAAAAUUUAAAUAAAAGACGUU
This 1494-nucleotide long non-coding RNA is filed under the name Homo sapiens (human). Its description in RNAcentral is "non-protein coding lnc-MARCH7-1:1". Lineage: Eukaryota; Metazoa; Chordata; Mammalia; Primates; Hominidae. The record is from RNAcentral.